Molecule: non-coding RNA, 24 nt
Filed under: Arabidopsis thaliana (thale cress)
Lineage: Eukaryota; Viridiplantae; Streptophyta; Magnoliopsida; Brassicales; Brassicaceae
Source: RNAcentral
AUUCAAAGUGCGUUCUCUUUAGAA